CAUGGGCAGAGUUUACUAGCCCCAGGAUGAGGAGAGCUCUCUCCAGACCAAGCAUCAGAGUGGAGUGACUAUUCUUGACACAGGACUUGAGUUCCUGGCAACUCCCCCUUGUCAGUCUCUAACCUUCCCAGGAAGGUCCCUUCACGAGGCUGCACGUGACUGGCUCUGGCAAUGGACUUGGGAGCAAGAGUGAUGAGUCAAGUGUAUAUAUAAACCUGCUUACUUAGACUGAGUACCACCAACUAAGAUGUGUCCAGAAAGCUGGCACCAGAUGACAUUUUGCCCACAGGCUCUUCCACCAGCUCACCAAUUACCCAACCCUCUAACGUCUGCCAAUCUGAUGAAAUGGGAGAAUGGCACUGAGAAGGAUCAAAAGGAGUCAAGAAUGCUCUCCCUGGGAUGCCCCUCCUACAGCCCCACAUAACACAACCCAGCCACCUUCCAAACACAGCUCCUAGCUGCCUCCUUGGCCACAGAUCCUUCAUGUUCCAACCAAGAAAGUCAAACUUCCAAACUCCAGCCACCACUGAGCCAUUCCGUGAUGAGAAAGUCAGCACCAGCACUUGAUGAAGCAGGAGAGCAAGGUUCUUACCUCACAGAGUCAAAGAAUGAAUUCACAGACAAAGGGGAGUGAGCAAAGCAAAGAGAUUUUAUUAAGCAAGGACACAGAAGAAGCUCUUAGGAAUGACAGGGGACCCAACCAAGGGCUUUUAUGGUUGGUCUUUUGUUGAAAACUGACCAGGGAACUUAAAUCUUUUUAACAUCUCUACCCCCUGAUAACACCAUUAAGUAAGGACUGGUGAUAACAUCUUGAAUGACUUACUUCUUCUUUUGGGUCUGGUCAUUCUUUGUGGGCACAACGUGACUGCCAGAAAGGACCCCACUUCUGACGUCCAGGGCAGAGUGCUCUGGUUUGUUCUCUUAUCUCUGGUUUCAUUAGGACUCAGCAUUUCUGGGAUUUUUGGUGAACCUGAUCACAUAGCCCCCUAAGCAAGCCCUGUCACACAGUCCCCUAGCUAUCCCUCCCUACCCAGCCCCACCUGUCCCUUACUCAAUGAUAGCACCUUCCAGUCUUCAAUCCUCCAUGCAUACUAUCAGCUCCCACUGAGUAAUUACACUCACGUGUUCAGGGUUAUGAUCACCUCUAGGUGCAAGUGAAAGGGGGAGCCUGGUUGUGAAAGCCCCUUGUGUCCGGAUGCAGUGUGAGAAGUCAAGCAGAAUAAAAGUGAGCACUUUGGAAUUCCCAAAUCUAUCCACACCUGCUGCCUGUAGUAACUGUGGUACCUGUCACUUUCUUCCUUGUGUGAUCGUUAUUCAUGAAUACACCUUAUCUUUCUCUUUCUGUAUUUCCUCAAUCCUAAGUUUCUAUCAAUUAUAAAAUGACACAAUUAUUUAAUUAUAUGGGGGAAGGGGAUCAUCACAUUAAAUGCACAUGUCAAUAUUGAUAUUAUUCAGACACUUCAAAUUGUGUGAGGGAAGAAGAAAUUCUUGGAAUCAAGGUGGUGUUUUAGGUGGGAGAUUCUGAGAGAGAUCCCUUCCAGUACGGGAAGCAGUGGAAUCCCUGGGGGGGGGAUGGGGGGUACCUGCCGCCCCCCUCCCAUUAAUUUACAUAAUUCAAUGUUUCCUGGAGGCAGGUAUAUGAAAGCAAGAACUAAAAUUUACAAGACUGCGUUCUGAUCGCAGAGUAUUACCCCUGCUUUGUUUGGUUUUUGUUCUCUUUUGAAUAUCUGGACUUUUGCCCACCCUGAUUCUCCUGGUUCUUUAGUCACCCUUCCCUUUGUACUAAGACCAUGGCAGUCCCUCCCCACCUCCACAACUGCACCCCCCACCCCCACCCCCUGCAGCUGUUCACAUGAGCUGGAUACACCGCAGAAGGUGAGAGCCUCACGCACCUGUGGAGGAAGUGGACAACCUCCCCAACCCCACUCCGGUAAAGGGGUGCUCUGCAUUCUCUGGGCAGACACACAGAGGAGCUCCAGGAUCAUUGGACCCUGCUUUAGUAUCAUCCAUCACCCAACCAGCCACCCCUUGCUCAUGGAUCUGGUCCACAGCCAAACAGGGGGAGGAGGAAGGCUGUGGGUUCAUCAUAGCAUUCUUCACCCUCAUUAACUCCUGAUAUGCUCAGACCAACCUCCCUGACACAGUUUCUUCCUGCGUACAUCUGUAUUCACCUGUGCCUGUAUAUCUCUUUUUAU
Long non-coding RNA from Canis lupus familiaris (dog), 2195 nucleotides. RefSeq lists it as uncharacterized. NCBI's taxonomy places the organism in Eukaryota, Metazoa, Chordata, Mammalia, Carnivora, Canidae. The transcript is spliced from 4 exons. The record is from RefSeq and is a predicted model, not a curated record.